AGAGUUUGAUGGCUCAGGAUGAACGCAGCGGCAGAACACAUGCAAGUCGAGGGGUAGCAGGGUAGCAAUAUCGCUGACGACCGGCGCACGGGUGAGUAACGCGUAUGCAACCUUCCUUUAACUGGGGCAUAGCCCGGAGAAUUCGGAUUAAUACCCCAUAAUAUUUCAGGGACACAUGUUUUGGAAUUAAAGCUCCGGCGGUUAAAGAUGGGCAUGCGUGCCAUAGCUAGUUGGUGAGGUAACGGCUCACCAAGGCUACGAUGGUUAGGGGGUCUGAGAGGAUGAUCCCCCACACUGGUACUGAGACACGGACCAGACUCCUACGGGAGGCAGCAGUGAGGAAUAUUGGGCAAUGGGCGCAAGCCUGACCCAGCCAUGCCGCGUGAAGGAUGAAUGCCCUAUGGGUUGUAAACUUCUUUUGUACGGGACGAAACUUUUGGUCGUGACCGAAAUUGACUGUACCGUAUGAAUAAGCAUCGGCUAACUCCGUGCCAGCAGCCGCGGUAAUACGGAGGAUGCAAGCGUUAUCCGGAUUCAUUGGGUUUAAAGGGUGCGUAGGCGGAAUAAUAAGUCAGCGGUGAAAGCCUGUGGCUUAACCAUAGAAUUGCCGUUGAUACUGUUAUUCUUGAGUAUAGUUGAAGUGGGCGGAAUGUGUAAUGUAGCGGUGAAAUGCUUAGAUAUUACACAGAACACCAAUUGCGAAGGCAGCUUACUAAGCUGUUACUGACGCUGAGGCACGAAAGCGUGGGGAGCAAACAGGAUUAGAUACCCUGGUAGUC
RNAcentral lists this ribosomal RNA (779 nucleotides) under uncultured bacterium. RNAcentral's name for it is "bacterial SSU rRNA". It matches the Rfam family "Bacterial small subunit ribosomal RNA", at positions 8 to 795 of the family's 1533-position model. The record is from RNAcentral.